UCGAGAAUCUUCCGCAAUGGGCGAAAGCCUGACGGAGCGACGCCGCGUGCGGGAUGAAGGCCUUCGGGUUGUAAACCGCUGUCAGAGGGGAGCAAAUUUUGAGCGAUCCUCAGAGGAAGCGCAGGCUAAGUUCGUGCCAGCAGCCGCGGUAACACGAACUGCGCGAACGUUAUUCGGAAUCACUGGGCUUAAAGGGUGCGUAGGCGGCGAUGUAGGUGGGGUGUGAAAUCCCUCGGCUCAACCGAGGAACUGCGCUCCAAACCACAUUGCUUGAGGGAGUCAGAGGUAAGCGGAACUGAUGGUGGAGCGGUGAAAUGCGUUGAUAUUAUCAGGAACACCGGUGGCGAAAGCGGCUUACUGGGACUUUUCUGACGCUGAGGCACGAAAGCUAGGGGAGCGAACGGGAUUAGAUACCCCCGUAGUCC
This 425-nucleotide ribosomal RNA is filed under the name uncultured prokaryote. RNAcentral describes it as "bacterial SSU rRNA". It matches the Rfam family "Bacterial small subunit ribosomal RNA", at positions 355 to 796 of the family's 1533-position model. The record is from RNAcentral.